Molecule: ribosomal RNA, 484 nt
Filed under: uncultured bacterium
Lineage: Bacteria
Description: partial 16S ribosomal RNA
Rfam family: Bacterial small subunit ribosomal RNA
Source: RNAcentral
AUUGAACGCUGGCGGCAUGCUUUACACAUGCAAGUCGAACGGCAGCGCGGGCUUCGGCCUGGCGGCGAGUGGCGAACGGGUGAGUAAUACAUCGGAACGUGCCCAGUAGUGGGGGAUAGCUCGGCGAAAGCCGGAUUAAUACCGCAUACGACCUGAGGGUGAAAGCGGGGGAUCUUCGGACCUCGCGCUUUUUGAGCUGCCGAUGGCAGAUUAGCUAGUUGGUGGGGUAAAGGCCUACCAAGGCGACGAUCUGUAGCUGGUCUGAGAGGACGACCAGCCACACUGGGACUGAGACACGGCCCAGACUCCUACGGGAGGCAGCAGUGGGGAAUUUUGGACAAUGGGCGAAAGCCUGAUCCAGCAAUGCCGCGUGUGUGAUGAAGGCCUUCGGGUUGUAAAGCACUUUUGGCGGGAACGAAAAGGACUGUGCCAAUACCACGGUUCGAUGACGGUACCCGCAGAAUAAGCACCGGCUAACUACGUG